UUUUUUUCCGUUUCCUCCUCUCGUCGACGGCAGGCUCUAGAAGCAGAAGCAGCUCCUCUGUUUCCGGCGUGGCAAGGCAGAUUCGGCGGCGGCGGUUGUCCUUCCGGUAGGGCAGUGGUGGCCAGCGUUUCGUUCGGUGGAACUCCGGUGACCAUAGCGUGGAGGUGUGGUGGUUGGCAGUGUGUUAUUUGGUAGAAACUGGAUGAGGCUGAACCCUAAGGACAAUAUACAAGUGAUCAACUUUUCAGAGUAGAGUUACCUCCCCACAAACAAGUUGAUUGAGGCUAGCAGUGGUCAAGAUGAUGAUGAGGAAAAGAGAAGAAAUACAGUUCACCAAGCAGCCUUACAUUGAAGAUGUGGGCCCUCGGAAAAUAAAAAGUAUUCAGUUUUCAACUUUCUCUGGUUCUGAAGUAAUGAAAUCAGCUGAAGUUGAAGUCUAUCGUGGAGUUUACUACGAUGCUUCCAAGAAUCCUAUUCCCAACGGCCUAUUAGACCCUCGCAUGGGUCCUCCAAAUAAGACCAAAUCUUGUGCCACAUGCGAUGGAGAUUUCAAACAAUGUCCUGGUCACUAUGGAUACUUGAAUCUUGCUUUACCAGUUUUUAAUGUUGGAUAUCUACCCAUCAUUGUGGACAUCUUGAAAUGCAUUUGCAAGGGUUGUUCCCGCAUUCUUCUUGGUGAAAAAGAACGUCUAGACUUCCUAAGAAAGAUGAGAAAUACAAAGUUGGAGCAUUUGAAAAAGAAUGAGUUGCUCAAAAGAGUUGUGAAAAGGUGCACUGCCAUGACAAGUGGUCGCAAGGCAGUGAUUUGUUCCAGAUGUGGAUGCGUAAAUGGAAUGGUGAAAAAGGGCCCUUUGAAGAUCAUCCAUGAAUAUGGAAGUCAGUUUUUAGAUGAGUGCCAUAAUGCUGUUUCUAACAAAAUCAAGGGAUCUAUUACUGUGCCUCCAGAACUCGACUCGAAGACAGUUCACGCCCUCUUCAAGAAAAUGAUAGAUGAGGACUGUGAGUUGCUUUAUCUUAGUGACAAACCAGAAAAACUCCUUGUCACAAGUAUCCCUGUGCCACCAAUAGCAAUACGCCCUUCUGUCUUUGUGGAUGGUGGAAUGCAGAGUAAUGAGAAUGACAUCACAGAGAGGCUGAAGCGCAUUAUCCAAGCAAAUUCAAGUCUUCGACAAGAAAUUUCCGAUACAACUCUUCCAGCUAGAAGUCUGGCUAGUUGGGUUGAUCUCCAAAUGGAAGUUGCACAGUACAUAAAUAGUGAUGUACGUGGAUUGCCACCACAAAUGCAAGCUUCCAGGCCACUGAGUGGCUUUGUUCAGCGCCUCAAAGGAAAGCAAGGUCGUUUCCGUGGAAAUCUGUCAGGCAAGCGUGUUGAAUAUACUGGACGCACUGUUAUUUCACCCGAUCCAAAUCUUAAAAUCACUGAGGUAGCAAUUCCUAUCUUAAUGGCUCGAAUUUUAACAUUUCCUGAGCGUGUUUCACGACACAACAUAGAGAAGUUGAGGCAAUGUGUUCGCAAUGGGCCCAACAAAUACCCUGGUGCGAAGUAUAUCAGGCAUCCUGAUGGUACCGAGAUUUCGUUAAUGUACUCUAGUAGAAAGCGUCAUGCUGAUGAAUUGAAAUAUGGCUACAUAGUUGAUCGUCAUUUGGAAGAUGGAGAUGCUGUUCUAUUUAAUAGACAACCAAGUUUACAUCGAAUGUCUAUCAUGUGCCAUCGGGCAAGGAUUAUGCCAUGGCGCACAUUGAGAUUUAAUGAAUCUGUUUGCAAUCCCUACAACGCUGAUUUUGAUGGUGAUGAGAUGAAUAUGCAUGUACCACAAACAGUAGAGGCUCGCACAGAGGCUCUUUUGUUGAUGGGGGUCCAAAACAAUUUAUGCACCCCAAAGAGUGGGGAAAUCUUGGUUGCUUCUACACAGGAUUUUCUAACAUCUUCCUUUCUCAUUACAAGGAAGGACACAUUUUACGAUCGUGCUUCGUUUUCACUUAUGUGUUCAUACAUGGGCGAUGCGAUGGAUCACAUUGAUUUGCCAACUCCAGCUUUAAUUAAGCCAGUUGAGCUUUGGACUGGAAAACAAUUAUUUGGUGUGCUUCUACGUCCAUAUAGUAAAAUGAGAGUUUACUUAAACCUUACUCUUAAGGAGAAGAGUUACCCGAGAGAAAAAGGUCUAGAAAAAGGUCUAGAAACAAUGUGCCCAAGUGAUGGGUUUGUUUACUUCCGCAACAGUGAGCUGAUAAGUGGGCAACUUGGAAAGGCCACACUAGGAAAUGGAAACAAGGAUGGACUUUAUUCUGUGCUGCUAAGGGACUAUAACACACAUGGUGCUGCAAUAUGUAUGAAUCGGCUUGCAAAGUUGAGUGCUCGUUGGAUAGGGAAUCAUGGAUUUUCAAUUGGCAUCGAUGAUGUCCAACCAGGAAAGGAGUUAGUUGAAAAGAAGACAAUGGAAAUAGAGAAGGGGUAUGGGAUAUGUGAAGCGUAUAUAGCUUCAUUUAACAAGGGGGAACUUGAGGAACAACCUGGCUGUGAUGCUGCACAGACACUUGAAGCCAAUAUAACAAAGGAACUGAAUGCUAUCCGAGUGAAAACUGGGCAAGUGUGCACUAAUACACUACAUUGGAGGAAUAGCCCCUUAAUUAUGUCACAAUGUGGUUCAAAAGGCUCAGAUAUCAAUAUUAGUCAGAUGGUUGCAUGUGUCGGCCAGCAAUCUGUUGGGGGUUGUCGUGCUCCAAAUGGAUUCAUGGACCGGAGUCUUCCUCAUUUUCCUACAAAAUCAAUAUUUCCAGCUGCUAAAGGAUUCGUCGCCAGUUCAUUUUAUGAUGGUUUAAGUGCUACUGAGUUUUUUUUCCACACUAUGGGUGGAAGAGAAGGCCUUGUAGACACAGCGGUUAAAACUGCUGACACAGGGUAUAUGUCUCGGCGGCUUAUGAAGGCUCUGGAGGAUCUUUCAAUUUUGUACGACAGAACCGUGCGAAAUGCAAGUUCAUGCAUAGUGCAAUUUGAGUAUGGUGAUGAUGGUAUGGACCCUGCACAGAUGGAAGAGAAAGAAGGGCAUCCUCUGAACUUUAAUAGAUUAUUUAUGAAAGUUAAGGCAACAUGUCCUCCCGGAGAGGAAAAGAGUCUGUCAUCAUCAGAAAUCCAACAGAUGGUGCAUAAAAGGCUUUCAGAACAUGAUACGACUCCAGAUGGGGGGUGCUCAGCGGCCUUCUGCAAUUCAUUAAAAGAAUUCAUUGAAAACAACUGUGUAGCAAGCUUAGAGAAAACACGGAAAGAUCUCAAACUUGAUGGGGAACAUAAUGCAGGGGAGGAUCUUGAUGCUCUUGAAAGUAUCACUUUAAAUAUAUCAGGUGUAACAAGAAAGCAACUACAGGUUUUCCUAGAGACCUGCAUCUCUCGUUAUCAUGCAAAGAAAUUAGAAGACGGGACUUCAAUCGGUGCAAUAGGAGCUCAGAGUAUUGGAGAACCAGGGACGCAGAUGACAUUAAAAACUUUCCACUUUGCUGGUGUUGCAAGCAUGAAUGUUACACUCGGUGUUCCUCGCAUAAAAGAAAUUAUAAAUGCAGCCAAAAGGAUCAGCACACCUAUUAUUGAAGCAAAACUUUCAUGUGAUGAUGAUCUAGAUUUUGCUAAAAUAGUGAAGUGUCGUAUUGAAAAUACUCUUCUUGGUCAGGUUGCCAAGAGUAUUAAGAUAGUGAUGGCUGCGAGAGUAGCAUCCAUAGUUAUAGUUCUUGAUUUGGAAGCAAUUCAAACUUCAUUUCUUUCCAUAGAUGCUUAUAUUGUUAAGGAAUCAAUUUUGCAGACUAAAAAUAUUAAGUUGAAGGAACAGCACAUCAAGGUUUUAGAUCCUAAAAAGCUGGAAGUUAUCCCUCAUGCUGAUCGAAGUAAACUUCAUUUUGAACUCCACCGUCUCAAAAAUAAGCUUCCUGGGGUUGUUGUGAAGGGUAUCAACACUGUUGGACGUGCUGUGAUCAACAAAGCCGAAAAGGAAAAGGAAAUGGAAACGGAAAAGGAAAAGUACAACUUGCUUGUGGAAGGGACUGGUCUUCUAGCUGUUAUGGGCACAGAAGGAGUUGUUGGACGUCAUACAAAAACCAAUCACAUCAUGGAAGUGAAUCAAGUACUUGGAAUUGAAGCCGCAAGAAGGCGUAUAAUUGAACAGAUUAAGGAUAUCAUGUCAGACUAUAAGAUGACUAUAGAUUUACGUCACAUGAUGCUUCUAGCAGAUCUAAUGACUUUUAAGGGUGAAGUAUUAGGAAUUACUAGAUUUGGUAUGCAGAAGAUGAAAGACAGUGUAUUGACAUUAGCCUCCUUUGAGAAGACUGCUGAUCACCUUUUCAAUGCUUCUGUAAGUGGGCGGGAUGACAAAAUUGAAGGAGUCGGUGAAUGCAUCAUUAUGGGCAUACCAAUGGACAUGGGCACAGGGAUGUUUAAAGUUAUGCAAAGCAACACUUCUCAUCCAGUUGAGCUGAAUUAUGGAAAAGAAUCAAUUAUCCCCAGAGACUGACUAGGUACCAAUUUUCACCAUGAUUUAACUCUUCAAUAGGUCGUCGGUCUUCAAAAUGACAAAGGAAGGGUUUAUGUUUGUGGAAAGAUAUCAACAGAGAAAGAGAAUGGAUGUGAGGCAGUAAAGUGCUCAGGCUCAUCAGGAUGGUACAUCAACGAAAAAAUAUAGCCGAACACUGCUCUCUUCUGCUCGCUAUGUGGAUAACAUUAAAAAAGGGAUAGGCGAAGGUUGGCUCCCAAUUUUGCAUCCAAAAUGUUGCUUAGUUUUAGUGCAUAGCCUAACCAUUUUAACUUGCACAUAACCAUUUUGCAUAGAGUAGUUUGGUACAGUUGAAAAAAUAGUGGAGCAAGGGCACUUAUCUUUUGUUCAAAGUUAAUUUGAACCAAAUGAAUUAUUUGUGUUAAGAAUGAGUAUACCAUAAAUAAAGUGAAGAGUAGUAUGAAAUACAAAAUAGAUUUAAAAUAAUAGAGAGAGAUUAGAAGGUGGUUUUGGGUUCAGAGAAAUUGAAAACCAACAUAAAUAAAUGAAGAUUGUGUUUGAGUUGGAAAGGGUAAAAAAGAGCCAAAUGGAGGGGA
RNA transcript from Ipomoea triloba (trilobed morning glory), 5071 nucleotides. It is a transcript of the gene named DNA-directed RNA polymerase III subunit 1-like, with no coding region annotated. The record is from RefSeq and is a predicted model, not a curated record. The transcript has 29 exons. Lineage: Eukaryota; Viridiplantae; Streptophyta; Magnoliopsida; Solanales; Convolvulaceae.